CCUACGGGUGGCAGCAGUGGGGAAUAUUGCGCAAUGGGCGAAAGCCUGACGCAGCGACGCCGCGUGAGGGAUGAAGGUCUUCGGAUCGUAAACCUCUGUCAGCAGGGAAGAACGGUCACUGUGCUAAUCAGCAGUGAAUUGACGGUACCUGCAAAGGAAGCACCGGCUAACUCCGUGCCAGCCGCCGCGGUAAUACGGAGGGUGCGAGCGUUAAUCGGAAUUACUGGGCGUAAAGCGCUCGUAGGCGGUAUGUCAAGUCAAGGGUGAAAUCCCCGCGCUCAACGUGGGAACUGCCUUUGAAACUGGCAAACUGGAGUGUGUGAGAGGAUAGUGGAAUUCCAGGUGUAGGAGUGAAAUCCGUAGAUAUCUGGAGGAACAUCAGUGGCGAAGGCGACUAUCUGGCACAUAACUGACGCUGAGGAGCGAAAGCGUGGGAAUCAAACAGGAUUAGAUACCCCAGUAGUC
This 465-nucleotide ribosomal RNA is filed under the name uncultured bacterium. Its description in RNAcentral is "partial 16S ribosomal RNA". It matches the Rfam family "Bacterial small subunit ribosomal RNA", at positions 338 to 795 of the family's 1533-position model. The record is from RNAcentral.